Molecule: ribosomal RNA, 245 nt
Filed under: uncultured Desulfobacteraceae bacterium
Lineage: Bacteria; Pseudomonadati; Thermodesulfobacteriota; Desulfobacteria; Desulfobacterales; Desulfobacteraceae
Description: partial 16S ribosomal RNA
Rfam family: Bacterial small subunit ribosomal RNA
Source: RNAcentral
UACGGAGGGUGCAAGCGUUACUCGGAAUUACUGGGCGUAAAGGGCGCGUAGGCGGUACGGUAAGUCAGAUGUGAAAGCCCGGGGCUUAACCCCGGAAGUGCAUUUGAAACUGCCGUGCUUGAGUAUGGGAGAGGGAAGUGGAAUUCCUGGUGUAGAGGUGAAAUUCGUAGAUAUCAGGAGGAACACCGGUGGCGAAGGCGACUUCCUGGACCAAUACUGACGCUGAGGCGCGAAGGCGUGGGGAG